UGAAUAGCUGGUAGUGAAUCCCCACUAGCGUCUGUCUGGCUGUCUGCUGAAUAGCUGGUAGUGAAUCCCCACUAGCGUCUGUCUGGCUGUCUGCUGAGUACUUUCCAUCUGUUUGCUUCCUUGAAUAAAACAUAAUAAAACAAAUCUUCUACAUUAUAAACAGUGAUACAUAUCUAGUUCAUUCAAACACAUAUACAGUCAGAACGCGACGUACCAGCAUUGGUGAAACUAUUUCUUUAAGUACUGCAUACAUAGCAAUGUUACAUUUUCAAUACAUCCUUAUGAAAUGCCAAAGGCCAUCGGUCUCAAAGGUGAGUGUCUGUUGCUGUCAGAGUGGUCUGUUGUUGUCAGAGUGGUCUGUUGUGUGUCUGCUGUCGGAGUGGUCUGUUGUGUGUCUGUUGUCAGAGUGGUAUUUUGUCAGAGUGGUCUGUUGUGUGUCUGUUGUCAGAGUGGUCUGUUGUGUGUGUUGUCAGAGUGGUAUUUUGUUAGAGUGGUCUGUUGUGUGUCUGUUGUCAGAGUGGUCUGGUAUGUGUCUAAUGUCAGAGAGGUCUGUUGUGUGUCUGUUGUCAGAGUGGUAUUUUGUUAGAGUGGUCUGUUGUGUGUCUGUUGUCAGAGUGGUCUGUUAUGUGUCUGUUGUUUUCAGAAUCCAGUAGAGUCCAGUAAAGACCAGUAGAGUCCAGUAGAGACACAGUAGAGACACAGUAGAGUCCAGUCAAGAGUCCAGUGAAGAGUCCAGUAGAGUCCAGUAGAGACCAGUAGAGACACAUCAAGACACAGUAGAGUCCAGUGGAAACCGAGUGGAGACCAGUAGUCCAGUAGAGUCCAGUAGAGACACAGUAGAGUCCAGUAGAGACACAGUAGAGUCCAGUAGAGACCAGUAGUCCAGAGAGACCAGUAGAAUCCAGUAGAGUCCAGUGGAGACACAGUAGAGUCCAGUGGAGACCGAGUGGAGACCAGUAGUCCAGUAGAGUCCAGUAGAGACACAGUAGAGUCCAGUAGAGACCAGUAGAGUCCAGUAGAGACACAGUAGAUUCCAGUAGAGACACAGUAGAGUCCAGUAGAGACACAGUAGAGUGCCCAGUGUUACAGGCGUCACUGGGCAUGCUUAACAGGAUAGCUUCCUCAUUCAAGUCCUUACUGAUCAUCCGUAACACCAGUUCUCAGUGCAGUGGCAUCACAGCUAGAAGAGGAAGACACAUUGACAGGGUUAACAAAAAGGAUUUACAAACUGUCAAACAUUGUAAAUGUCCAACCCCAACUGUCUGGUUACUAACUGAGCUAGAGAAAGGUUGAUUUAACAUGACUGUCUAACAUCUAGACUGUACAUCUAUUGAUUAGGCUCAUUUGACGUCUUAUGACUGUAAGAGUAGAUGAUUACAAUGUAGCACUGUCAUAACUUUUUAUUAUAACAGAUUUCUGCACCAAUGAUCUGCUGCCCCCUAGCUGCUGAGCUGAGGUAUAAACAACAAGUGAACCUAUCACCAAUUAUCUGCUGCCCCCUAGCUGCUGAGCUGUGGGAUGAACAACAAGUGAACCUAUCACCAAUGAUCUGCUGCCCCCUAGCUGCUGAGCUGAGGGAUGAACAACAAGUGAACCUUUUAACAUAAUGACCGUGCAUCAACAACGCCAACGAAAGCAGAACAAACAUACAGCUAUGUAACAUGCUAUAGCACACAUGGCAGAAGGACACAGAGGAGCAUGAGACAUGAGACCUGAGACAUGAGACAUGAGACCAGAGACCAGAGACAUGAGACCUGAGACCUGAGACCUGAGACAUGAGAC
Long non-coding RNA from Oncorhynchus tshawytscha (Chinook salmon), 1782 nucleotides. The record is from Ensembl. Lineage: Eukaryota; Metazoa; Chordata; Actinopteri; Salmoniformes; Salmonidae.